Molecule: ribosomal RNA, 373 nt
Filed under: uncultured organism
Description: partial 16S ribosomal RNA
Rfam family: Bacterial small subunit ribosomal RNA
Source: RNAcentral
GUAGGUGGCAAGCGUUGUCCGGAAUUAUUGGGCGUAAAGCGCGCGCAGGCGGUUCUUUAAGUCUGAUGUGAAAGCCCACGGCUCAACCGUGGAGGGUCAUUGGAAACUGGAGAACUUGAGUACAGAAGAGGAAAGCGGAAUUCCACGUGUAGCGGUGAAAUGCGUAGAGAUGUGGAGGAACACCAGUGGCGAAGGCGGCUUUCUGGUCUAUAACUGACGCUGAGGCGCGAAAGCGUGGGGAGCAAACAGGAUUAGAUACCCUGGUAGUCCACGCCGUAAACGAUGAGUGCUAAGUGUUAGGGGGUUUCCGCCCCCCUUAGUGCUGCAGCUAACGCAUUAAGCACUCCGCCCUGGGAGUACGGCCGCAAGGCUG